RNAcentral lists this ribosomal RNA (497 nucleotides) under uncultured bacterium. Its description in RNAcentral is "partial 16S ribosomal RNA". It matches the Rfam family "Bacterial small subunit ribosomal RNA", at positions 28 to 507 of the family's 1533-position model. The record is from RNAcentral.
GAUGAACGCUGGCGGCGUGCCUAAUACAUGCAAGUCGAGCGAACAGACGAGGAGCUUGCUCCUCUGACGUUAGCGGCGGACGGGUGAGUAACACGUGGAUAACCUACCUAUAAGACUGGGAUAACUUCGGGAAACCGGAGCUAAUACCGGAUAAUAUAUUGAACCGCAUGGUUCAAUAGUGAAAGACGGUUUUGCUGUCACUUAUAGAUGGAUCCGCGCCGCAUUAGCUAGUUGGUAAGGUAACGGCUUACCAAGGCAACGAUGCGUAGCCGACCUGAGAGGGUUGUCGGCCACACUGGAACUGAGACACGGUCCCGACUCCUACGGGAGGCAGCAGUAGGGAAUCUUCAGCAAUGCGCGAAAGCCUGACGGAGCAACGCCGCGUGAGUGAUGAAGGUCUUCGGAUCGUAAAACUCUGUUAUUAGGGAAGAACAAAUGUGUAAGUAACUAUGCACGUCUUGACGGUACCUAAGCAGAAAGCCACGGCUAACUACGUG